UUUUUUUUUUUUUUUUUUUUUGAGACAGUCUCGCUCUGUCGCCCAGGCUGGAGUGCAGUGGGAUGAUCUCAGUUCAGUGCAACUACUGCCUCCCAGGUUGAAGCGAUUCUUUUGACUCAGCCUUCCGAGUAGCUGGGAUUACAGGCAUCUGCCAUUGUGCCCAACUAAUUUUUGCAAUUUUAGUAGAGACAAGGUCUCACCAUGUUGGCCAGGCUAGUCUCGAACUCCUGGCCUCAGGUGAUCCACCUGCCUCGGCCUCCCAAAGUGCUGGGAUUCUAGGCCCCUGCAUUACAGCCACUGCAACUGGCCACAACGUGGAAAUUUGAAUGCCCACCUAGGUGUCCACAAAGAUUUUCCAAGGAAGAGUAACUUUGGUUUUCAACCAGUCUGGGGGUGCUUCAUCAGGAUAGAAUCUUCUAGAAAACAUAGUGUGAUGAUGGACAGCAAACUGCUGUCUUCAUCUGGUUUGAUUGAGCCUAGAGUGCACCAGGGCCAAAAGAAUCUUGCCUUUUUUUGUUUGUUUGUUUUGUUUUGUUUUUUUUGAGAUGGAGUCUCACACUGUUGCAGGGGCUGGUGUACAGUUGCACAAUGUCAAGUUGCUAUACUCUCCACUUCCCAGGUUCAAGUGAUUCUCCUGCCUCAGCCUCCCAAGUAGCUAGGAUUACAGGUGCCUGCCAACACACCUAGGUAAUUUUUUUGUAUUUUUAGUAGAGACAGGGUUUCACUAUAUUGGCCAGGCUGGUCUUGAACUCCUGACCUCGUGAUCCACUCGCCUUGGACUUCCAAAGUGCUGGGAUUACAGGCAUGAGCCACAGUGCCCAGCCAAAAAUCUGUGUUUUAAACAAAGAAGGAACGAGUCUGAAAGCGGAAAUGGAAAUGGGAAAAGAUAAGGGGGCCAGGAGGAAAGAGAAGGAGAAAAGAAGGGUUGGGGUCUGAGAGGGAGCAAGAAUCCAAGCAUUUCCAGAUCCAUGGCCUGGAGUUGCAAGUGGGCAGGGCGGGGCCACUGGAGCUGUGACAGCCUUGAGGGCUGGGGUGACUCAUGCAGGGGCCCUGUGCUUCCUCCAGGCAUGUCACACCCUGGGCUCCAGGUCCCCAGUGGCACAGUUGCUGGUGCAGAGUUGGGUGUCUGCCUCCAGCUCUAUUCCUGCUACCAGGCUGGUCCGGAGUCGGUCGGGUUGGCGAGUUCCAGGCUGGACCCUAAGCAGGGGUCCUGGGCCAACAUAGGAAGUCUUGGACUGUAGGGGUGCGGGGGGUCAGGAGAAGGGGGGGCUUCUGGAAGUUUCUGAAGGUCUCCCUGGGAUUUAAUGCGGCAUUGCCAGCUGGAGCCAGCUUGGCAUGGGGAGAGAGAUGUGAGACUGAUGAAAAGUGUGCAGCCUGAUUUAAACCAAAUCCUGAGCCCUUUCCAAGAACAAUAAAGCAUAUUGUAGUGGCUAAAACAAACAAACAAACAAAGUAGCCUUUCUUGAGAGAUACAGCACCUAUCAUUUUUAAACUUUACAUUUAACAUUGUCUUUUGAAAAUAGUGUAUAUUAUUUGAUAUUUUAAAAUCCAGCCUGGGAGUUUCAGUGAUUUAUGUGAUGAGUUUAGUAAUUCACCUUUAUUGUAAUUAUUACUGUUUAGGAUUUAGGUAUGCCAUCUUUUUUGUUUGUUUAUUUUAAGAUACGGGGUCUUCCUCUGUUGUCCAGGCUGGAGUGCAGCGGCGUGGUCAUAGCUAGCUGCAGCCUCUAACUCCUGGGCUCAGGCCAUCUUACUGCCUCAGCCUCCAAGUAGCCAGGACUACAAGCAUGCGCCACCCACUGGGCUAGUUUUCUAUAUUUGUUUGUAGAGAUGGGGUCUGCCUAUAUUGCUCAGGCUGGACUUGAACUCCCGAGCUCAAGCGAUCCUCCCACCUCGGCCUCCCAAAGUGCAGGGAUUACAGGCAUGAGCCACUGUGCCCGGUCCACGUGUAUUUAUUGUGUUUUUUAUUGCUGGUAUUUCCCCCUCCAUACCUGUGCUCCAUUUAGUAUACCGAGGUUUUCUUUGGUUGGUUAAAAGUUAUAUAUUCUAGUUUUCUUCUCAGGGUGGCUGCCCUUAACCUAUGACUCAUACCAAUAUGUAUCACAUUUAUUGGUAUUAACGGUUUCAUUUUAUUCCUUAUUUUAGAAGUAUCAGCACAUUUUCCUAUUCCUUUCCCAUGCCACCUCCAGCCCCAUUUUCCUGAUAUCUUUCCUAGCUGUAAUUCUCGGUUACUCUUAGCUACACUUCCUUGUUUCUGUGAUCCUAACUUCACAUUUCCCUUGUUGUGAGAUAACAGUAAUCUGGAACAGAUUCUUUGGUCACUCAUCCUCCUCGGUUCUCUUUUGGCAUCUCCUGUGUUUCUCUUGCUAUUGAGGUACCUUCCUCUAGACUAUUUCCAACUUGGAUCUUCAGGAGGC
RNAcentral lists this long non-coding RNA (2414 nucleotides) under Macaca fascicularis (crab-eating macaque). Its description in RNAcentral is "lncRNA (ENSMFAG00000049984.1)". The record is from RNAcentral. Lineage: Eukaryota; Metazoa; Chordata; Mammalia; Primates; Cercopithecidae.